RNAcentral lists this ribosomal RNA (406 nucleotides) under uncultured bacterium. RNAcentral's name for it is "partial 16S ribosomal RNA". It matches the Rfam family "Bacterial small subunit ribosomal RNA", at positions 30 to 526 of the family's 1533-position model. The record is from RNAcentral.
AUUGAACGCUGGCGGCAGGCCUAACACAUGCAAGUCGAACGAGUGGCGGACGGGUGAGUAAUGUCUGGGAAACUGCCUGAUGGAGGGGGAUAACUACUGGAAACGGUAGCUAAUACCGCAUACCAUCAGAUGUGCCCAGAUGGGUUUAGCAUGUUGGUGGGGUAACGGCUCACCAAGGCUAAGAUCCCUAGCUGGUCUUAGAGGAUGACCAGCAAAACGGGACUUGAGAUACGGUCCGGACUCCUACGGGAGGCAGCAGUGGGGAAUAUUGCACAAUGGGCGAAAUCCUGAUGCAGCCAUGCCGCGUGUAUGAAGAGGGCCUUCGGGUUUUAAAGUACUUUCAGCGGGGAGGCGUUACCCGCAGAAGAAGCACCGGCUAACUCCGUGCCAGCAGCCGCGGUAAUAC